AGCCUUGAGGUGUAUGACAUACUUGAUUGCAAAUCUUGAGUAGCAGACUAACGUCUGCCGGGGCUU
RNAcentral lists this transfer RNA (66 nucleotides) under Acentrogobius viridipunctatus (spotted green goby). Its description in RNAcentral is "tRNA-Cys". The record is from RNAcentral. Lineage: Eukaryota; Metazoa; Chordata; Actinopteri; Gobiiformes; Gobiidae.